Molecule: ribosomal RNA, 465 nt
Filed under: Vreelandella stevensii
Lineage: Bacteria; Pseudomonadati; Pseudomonadota; Gammaproteobacteria; Oceanospirillales; Halomonadaceae
Description: partial 16S ribosomal RNA
Rfam family: Bacterial small subunit ribosomal RNA
Source: RNAcentral
CCUACGGGUGGCAGCAGUGGGGAAUAUUGGACAAUGGGGGCAACCCUGAUCCAGCCAUGUCGCGUGUGUGAAGAAGGCCCUCGGGUUGUAAAGCACUUUCAGUGAGGAAGAACGCCUGGUGGUUAAUACCCAUCAGGAAAGACAUCACUCACAGAAGAAGCACCGGCUAACUCCGUGCCAGCAGCCGCGGUAAUACGGAGGGUGCGAGCGUUAAUCGGAAUUACUGGGCGUAAAGCGCGCGUAGGUGGCUUGAUAAGCCGGUUGUGAAAGCCCCGGGCUCAACCUGGGAACGGCAUCCGGAACUGUCAAGCUAGAGUGCAGGAGAGGAAGGUAGAAUUCCCGGUGUAGCGGUGAAAUGCGUAGAGAUCGGGAGGAAUACCAGUGGCGAAGGCGGCCUUCUGGACUGACACUGACACUGAGGUGCGAAAGCGUGGGUAGCAAACAGGAUUAGAUACCCUAGUAGUC